Long non-coding RNA from Notothenia coriiceps (black rockcod), 586 nucleotides. RefSeq lists it as uncharacterized. NCBI's taxonomy places the organism in Eukaryota, Metazoa, Chordata, Actinopteri, Perciformes, Nototheniidae. The transcript is spliced from 2 exons. The record is from RefSeq and is a predicted model, not a curated record.
GAACAGGAACCGGAGCCGGUGGGACAGGCUUCGGCAGGAUCCCCCACGGAAGAGGACCAGGAGUUGGCAGGACCCCUGGCGAGACAGGUGAUGGCGGGGCCUCUAACUGAACAGGACAAGGGGUUGGCAGGACCCCCGGCAGGAGAGUAGUCGGCGGGACCUCCAACGGGACAGGACAUGGAGCUGGCAGGACCCCCAGCAGAACAGGACAUGGUGUCGGCAGGACCCCCGGCAGAACAGGUGACAGCAGGACCUCCAACAGGACCCGGGGAGCUGGAGUGGGUCGGAACACCGACAGAACUCAAGGGACCGGAGCGGGCCGGAGAGCCGGAACGUGAGCCAGAAUCAUAGCAGCCGGGGCCGGCACUGGAGUCGGAACUGGAGCUGGAAUUGAAGCCGGAAUCAUGGCUCUUGGGGCUCAGGCUGCUAGCCUAGAAUCACACACUGAGAGGAAGUCCAAAGUCCAGCCAGGUAAGAAUUGAACUAAACCUAGUUUCUCCAUUGCCAUCUGGUGCGCCUCAGCCAGAGCAGCCUCACGCUGCUGAACUCCGGACGCUCCCCUCCACUUAUCAGAGCAGCCAGCCAA